This 20-nucleotide transfer RNA is filed under the name Senega lutea. Its description in RNAcentral is "Polygala lutea partial tRNA-Leu". RNAcentral also lists the same sequence under 5 other names. Lineage: Eukaryota; Viridiplantae; Streptophyta; Magnoliopsida; Fabales; Polygalaceae. The record is from RNAcentral.
AAAUCCGUCGAAUUUCUAAA